CGUCCGUUGUCAAGAGGGAAACAACCCAGACCGCCAGCUAAGGUCCCCAAUGAUAGAUUAAGUGGUAAACGAAGUGGGAAGGCUCAGACAGCCAGGAUGUUGGCUUAGAAGCAGCCAUCAUUUAAAGAAAGCGUAAUAGCUCACUGGUCGAGUCGUCCUGCGCGGAAGAUGUAACGGGGCUCAAAUCUAUAACCGAAGCUGCGGAUGCCGGUUUACCGGCAUGGUAGGGGAGCGUUCUGUAGGCCGAUGAAGGUGCAUUGUAAAGUGUGCUGGAGGUAUCAGAAGUGCGAAUGUUGACAUGAGUAGCGAUAAAGCGGGUGAAAAGCCCGCUCGCCGAAAGCCCAAGGUUUCCUGCGCAACGUUCAUCGGCGUAGGGUGAGUCGGCCCCUAAGGCGAGGCAGAAAUGCGUAGUCGAUGGGAAACAGGUUAAUAUUCCUGUACUUGAUUCAAAUGCGAUGUGGGGACGGAGAAGGUUAGGUUGGCAAGCUGUUGGAAUAGCUUGUUUAAGCCGGUAGGUGGAAGACUUAGGCAAAUCCGGGUCUUCUUAACACCGAGAAGUGACGACGAGUGUCUACGGACACGAAGUAACCGAUACCACGCUUCCAGGAAAAGCCACUAAGCUUCAGUUUGAAUCGAACCGUACCGCAAACCGACACAGGUGGGCAGGAUGAGAAUUCUAAGGCGCUUGAGAGAACUCAGGAGAAGGAACUCGGCAAAUUGAUACCGUAACUUCGGGAGAAGGUAUGCCCUCUAAGGUUAAGGACUUGCUCCGUAAGCCCCGGAGGGUCGCAGAGAAUAGGUGGCUGCGACUGUUUAUUAAAAACACAGCACUCUGCUAACACGAAAGUGGACGUAUAGGGUGUGACGCCUGCCCGGUGCUGGAAGGUUAAUUGAAGAUGUGAGAGCAUCGGAUCGAAGCCCCAGUAAACGGCGGCCGUAACUAUAACGGUCCUAAGGUAGCGAAAUUCCUUGUCGGGUAAGUUCCGACCCGCACGAAUGGCGUAACGAUGGCCACACUGUCUCCUCCUGAGACUCAGCGAAGUUGAAGUGGUUGUGAAGAUGCAAUCUACCCGCUGCUAGACGGAAAGACCCCGUGAACCUUUACUGUAGCUUUGCAUUGGACUUUGAAGUCACUUGUGUAGGAUAGGUGGGAGGCUUAGAAGCAGAGACGCCAGUCUCUGCGGAGCCGUCCUUGAAAUACCACCCUGGUGUCUUUGAGGUUCUAACCCAGACCCGUCAUCCGGGUCGGGGACCGUGCAUGGUAGGCAGUUUGACUGGGGCGGUCUCCUCCCAAAGCGUAACGGAGGAGUUCGAAGGUUACCUAGGUCCGGUCGGAAAUCGGACUGAUAGUGCAAUGGCAAAAGGUAGCUUAACUGCGAGACCGACAAGUCGAGCAGGUGCGAAAGCAGGACAUAGUGAUCCGGUGGUUCUGUAUGGAAGGGCCAUCGCUCAACGGAUAAAAGGUACUCCGGGGAUAACAGGCUGAUUCCGCCCAAGAGUUCAUAUCGACGGCGGAGUUUGGCACCUCGAUGUCGGCUCAUCACAUCCUGGGGCUGUAGUCGGUCCCAAGGGUAUGGCUGUUCGCCAUUUAAAGUGGUACGUGAGCUGGGUUUAAAACGUCGUGAGACAGUUUGGUCCCUAUCUGCAGUGGGCGUUGGAAGUUUGACGGGGGCUGCUCCUAGUACGAGAGGACCGGAGUGGACGAACCUCUGGUGUACCGGUUGUAACGCCAGUUGCAUAGCCGGGUAGCUAAGUUCGGAAGAGAUAAGCGCUGAAAGCAUCUAAGCGCGAAACUCGCCUGAAGAUGAGACUUCCCUUGCGGUUUAACCGCACUAAAGAGUCGUUCGAGACCAGGACGUUGAUAGGUGGGGUGUGGAAGCGCGGUAACGCGUGAAGCUAACCCAUACUAAUUGCUCGUGAGGCUUGACUCU
RNAcentral lists this ribosomal RNA (1931 nucleotides) under Neisseria meningitidis. RNAcentral describes it as "partial 23S ribosomal RNA". It matches the Rfam family "Bacterial large subunit ribosomal RNA", at positions 1002 to 2925 of the family's 2925-position model. Lineage: Bacteria; Pseudomonadati; Pseudomonadota; Betaproteobacteria; Neisseriales; Neisseriaceae. The record is from RNAcentral.